UUGACUGCACUCUAGCUAUCUGAAAACAAUUAUCAAACUACAAAAUACUAAGGCUUAUUACUUCCAUCUUAAUUCAAUUUAUAAUCCAUUCUAUGACUAUCAAUUCAACAAUACUUCUAUAUUCUUAUCAGUUCAUCUCCCACUUACUCUCUUUGCAGUUUAAAUAUAUUCAAUUACUGAUCUCCAGCUUACUUAUUAUAUUCAGUUUCUCAAU
This 214-nucleotide long non-coding RNA is filed under the name Physcomitrium patens. RNAcentral's name for it is "long non-coding RNA (PPAT_LNC002898)". Lineage: Eukaryota; Viridiplantae; Streptophyta; Bryopsida; Funariales; Funariaceae. The record is from RNAcentral.